AUGUAAGGGGGGCCAACUUGCUAUGCAUUAUGGUGUCCGCCCCGCCCUGGGGAAAACAGUGGCUCGAGGGGGUGAUUGCUCAGCAUUAGCGUGCGUGCGAGCGGGGGUGUGGGGGCGGGGGCGCUGACUCACCUCGCCUUGGAGUAUAAACUUCAGGCCGAGAAUAAGGACGAAGUGGGUUGAUAAUGAUCAUGGAAGCGGGUUAUUUGUUGCGGGAAGUGAGAAUGGCCUCUGUGUGUUGGUACUUGUGUGUUGAGUAAUGUUGUUGAUUUUCACGACCGCUGGCAGAAGUGAAGGGGAGGAUGGCAAACGCGAUGGGACACACUCGUUACGAUGGUGACGACAACAACAAUGCGCCGUGCCAAUGUCUUGUUUCUGUGUGUGCGUGUGAGUGACUGUGGGGGGACAAAAUGAGGAAAAACCUGAUCGUCACUGGUGCUCGGGAGAGAACGUUCAUUGAAGGAUUGCUUGAGAAUGAUGACCAUUCGCUGCUGGCUCCAGGCGCGGUCUAGCAUCUUGUCCACAGUGGCUCCCCGCAGCCACCUCCUCUCCGACAUCUGUUCUCCGUGGCCUCCACAUGCACCCUGUGCUCACCUCUUGCGGCCCACCGACAACACAGACUCCUACCCUGCCAGACCGGUCCUCAUUGGAACCCUGCCAAUCACGGAUUUAGUUCUCGGAGUUCCUUUGUUCGCUUCCAAGCUGCAAUAAACUGUUAUUCACAAACUCACCUCCCUGUCCUCUCUGCAUCUGGGUCCAACUUGCAACCUGAAUCCUGACAGCAUAGUCUGGCCCGUCAUGGACCCAGGGGACACGGAUCCCUUUCGCCAAACAGUUACCGGACAGAGCAUGCUUUUUGGAGCAACACG
This is a long non-coding RNA of Phyllopteryx taeniolatus (common seadragon), 869 nucleotides long. RefSeq lists it as uncharacterized. The transcript is spliced from 3 exons. The record is from RefSeq and is a predicted model, not a curated record. NCBI's taxonomy places the organism in Eukaryota, Metazoa, Chordata, Actinopteri, Syngnathiformes, Syngnathidae.